UGCUAGGCUACAAACUCCAGACUGCCCUGC
Molecule: non-coding RNA, 30 nt
Filed under: Rattus norvegicus (Norway rat)
Lineage: Eukaryota; Metazoa; Chordata; Mammalia; Rodentia; Muridae
Source: RNAcentral